RNAcentral lists this ribosomal RNA (234 nucleotides) under uncultured bacterium. RNAcentral describes it as "partial 16S ribosomal RNA". It matches the Rfam family "Bacterial small subunit ribosomal RNA", at positions 118 to 347 of the family's 1533-position model. The record is from RNAcentral.
UGAGUAACCUGCCCUUAACUCUGGGAUAAGCCUGGGAAACUGGGUCUAAUACCGGAUAUGACUCCUCAUCGCAUGGUGGGGGGUGGAAAGCUUUAUUGUGGUUUUGGAUGGACUCGCGGCCUAUCAGCUUGUUGGUGAGGUAAUGGCUCACCAAGGCGACGACGGGUAGCCGGCCUGAGAGGGUGACCGGCCACACUGGGACUGAGAUACGGCCCAGACUCCGUACGGGAGCAG